GAUGAACGCUGGCGGCGUGCCUAAUACAUGCAAGUCGAGCGAACAGACGAGGAGCUUGCUCCUCUGACGUUAGCGGCGGACGGGUGAGUAACACGUGGAUAACCUACCUAUAAGACUGGGAUAACUUCGGGAAACCGGAGCUAAUACCGGAUAAUAUAUUGAACCGCAUGGUUCAAUAGUGAAAGACGGUUUUGCUGUCACUUAUAGAUGGAUCCGCGCCGCAUUAGCUAGUUGGUAAGGUAACGGCUUACCAAGGCAACGAUGCGUAGCCGACCUGAGAGGGUGAUAGGCCACACUGGAACUGAGACACGGUCCAGACGCCUACGGGAGGCAGCAGUAGGGAAUCUUCCGCAAUGGGCGAAAGCCUGACGGAGCAACGCCGCGUGAGUGAUGAAGGUCUUCGGAUCGUAAAACUCUGUUAUUAGGGAAGAACAAAUGUGUAAGUAACUAUGCACGUCUUGACGGUACCUAAUCAGAAAGCCACGGCUAACUACGUG
This 497-nucleotide ribosomal RNA is filed under the name uncultured bacterium. RNAcentral describes it as "partial 16S ribosomal RNA". It matches the Rfam family "Bacterial small subunit ribosomal RNA", at positions 28 to 507 of the family's 1533-position model. The record is from RNAcentral.